CAGGCUGGUUAGAUGGUUGUCA
Molecule: non-coding RNA, 22 nt
Filed under: Petromyzon marinus (sea lamprey)
Lineage: Eukaryota; Metazoa; Chordata; Hyperoartia; Petromyzontiformes; Petromyzontidae
Also listed under: 16 other names
Gene: pma-miR-456
Source: miRBase by way of RNAcentral